RNAcentral lists this ribosomal RNA (1289 nucleotides) under Lactococcus garvieae. RNAcentral describes it as "bacterial SSU rRNA". It matches the Rfam family "Bacterial small subunit ribosomal RNA", at positions 112 to 1360 of the family's 1533-position model. Lineage: Bacteria; Bacillati; Bacillota; Bacilli; Lactobacillales; Streptococcaceae. The record is from RNAcentral.
AGAGCUGGGGGGAACACACCGCUGUUUGGAAAACCGAACGUCUAAUUGCGCAUACAUGAGGAAUCGCAUGAUUCCCUAUUAGAAACGGAAGGCAUUGGCUCACCUACUUGAUGGAAUCCCGCGCGUUGUAAUAAGGCUAGGUUGGUAGGUGUAAAGGACCUAACCAAAGGGCAAUGAUAACAAUAGGCCGACCUGAGAGAGGGUGGAUCGGCCACCAACUGGGAAUUGAGACAACGGCCCAAGACUCCUACGGGAGGCAGCAGUAGGGAAUCUUCGGCAAUGGGGGCAACCCUUGACCGAGCAACGCCGCGUGAGUGAAGAAGGGUUUUCGGAUCGUAAAACUCUGUGUUAGAGAAGAACGUUAAGUAGAGUGGAAAAUUACUUUAAGUGACGGUAUCUAACCAGAAAGGGACGGCUAAACUACGUGCCAGCAGCCGCGGUAAUACGUAGGUCCCAAGCGUUGUCCGGAUUUAUUGGGCGUAAAGCGAGCGCAGGUGGUUUCUUAAGUCUGAUGUAAAAGGCAGUGGCUCAACCAUUGUGUGCAUUGGAAACUGGGAGACUUGAGUGCAGGAGAGGAGAGUGGAAUUCCAUGUGUAGCGGUGAAAUGCGUAGAUAUAUGGAGGAACACCGGAGGCGAAAGCGGCUCUCUGGCCUGUAACUGACACUGAGGCUCGAAAGCGUGGGGAGCAAACAGGAUUAGAUACCCUGGUAGUCCACGCCGUAAACGAUGAGUGCUAGCUGUAGGGAGCUAUAAGUUCUCUGUAGCGCAGCUAACGCAUUAAGCACUCCGCCUGGGGAGUACGACCGCAAGGUUGAAACUCAAAGGAAUUGACGGGGGCCCGCACAAGCGGUGGAGCAUGUGGUUUAAUUCGAAGCAACGCGAAGAACCUUACCAGGUCUUGACAUACUCGUGCUAUCCUUAGAGAUAAGGAGUUCCUUCGGGACACGGGAUACAGGUGGUGCAUGGUUGUCGUCAGCUCGUGUCGUGAGAUGUUGGGUUAAGUCCCGCAACGAGCGCAACCCUUAUUACUAGUUGCCAUCAUUAAGUUGGGCACUCUAGUGAGACUGCCGGUGAUAAACCGGAGGAAGGUGGGGAUGACGUCAAAUCAUCAUGCCCCUUAUGACCUGGGCUACACACGUGCUACAAUGGAUGGUACAACGAGUCGCCAACCCGCGAGGGUGCGCUAAUCUCUUAAAACCAUUCUCAGUUCGGAUUGCAGGCUGCAACUCGCCUGCAUGAAGUCGGAAUCGCUAGUAAUCGCUGACCAGCCUAGCCCCCAAGCCCCCCC